This 2215-nucleotide long non-coding RNA is filed under the name Homo sapiens (human). Its description in RNAcentral is "HSALNT0224788". The record is from RNAcentral. Lineage: Eukaryota; Metazoa; Chordata; Mammalia; Primates; Hominidae.
AAGGGCAAAAUCUCAUUUUUAUACAAUUUCUCUUAGCAGCUGCUCAAGUGCAAGCUUCUGAGUUUCCGUUUCUUCUAAACUGUCUAUAGCAGCAAGGAAAAGCGCUUUAAGAUGAAUUUGACAGGCCAGGCGCGGUGGCUCACAUCUGUAAUCCCAGCACUUUGGGAGGCCGAGGUGGGUGGAUCAGGAGGUCAGGAGUUCGAGAACGUCCUGGUUAACACGGUGAGACCCCGUCUCUACUAAAAAUACAAAAAUUAGCCGGGCGUGGUGGAAGGCGCCUCUAGUCCCAGCUACUUGGAAGGCUGAGGCAGGAGAGUCGCUUGAGCCCAGGAGGCAGAGGUUGCAGUGAGCCGACAUUGCGCCAUUGCACUCCAGCCUGGGGACAAGAGCAAGACUUCGUCUCAAAAAAAGAAAAGAUGAGUUUGAUAGCUUUGUCCUAAUACAUACUUAUGUCUGGAUCCAAAGGGGACAGUGUCUCUAGCUCAGGGGGCGAUGGAUGGGCCUUCCUGCAGAGUGGAUGUUUAUUGAUUACUAAAGCAUCUAUUUGAGUUAAUCACUAUCAUUUUCAUCAUAGUCUCAUUGGUGUUUGAGCAGUGUAAGAAUAUCAGCUCAGCUUUGAGCUGGAUUUCACCCUGUAUUAGUUCAUUCUCACAUUGCUAUAAAUAACUACCUGAGACUGGAUAAUUUAUAAAGAAAAGAGGUUUGGCCUGGCGUGGUGGCUCAUGCCUGUAAUCCUGAGAGGUGAAGCCAGCUGGACUUCUGGGUCGGACUUGGAGAGCUUUUCUGUCUUACAAGAGGAUUGUAAAAUGCACCAAUCAGUGCUCUGUAAAGACACACCAAUCGGCACUCCGUGGCUAGCUAGAGGUUUGUAAAAUGGACCAAUCAGCACUCUGUAAAAUGGACCAAUCAGCACUCUGUAAAGUGGACCAACCAGCAGGACAUGGGCGGGGACAAAUAAGGGAAUAAAAGCUGGCCACCCCAACCAGCAGCAGCCCCUGGCUUGGGUCCUCGUCUAAGCUGUGGACGCUUUGUUCUUUCGCUCUUCACAAUAAAUCUUGCUCACUCUUUGGGUCCGUGCCGCCUUUAAGAGCUGUAACACUCACCGCGGAGGUCCGCGGCCCCGUUCUUGAAGUCAGCGAGACCACGAACCCACCAGAAGGAACCAACUCCAGACACAAUCCCAGCACUUUGGGAAGUCAGGGCAGGCGGAUCAGGAGGUCAGAAGAUCGAGACCAUCCUGGCCAACAUGGUGAAACCCCAUCUCUACUGAAAAUAUAAAAAUUAGCUGGAUGUGGUGGCGCAUGCCUGUAAUCCCAGCUACUGGGGAGGCUGAGGCAGGAGAAUCCCUUAAACCGGGGAGUUGGAUGUUGCAGUGAGCUGAGAUUGCGCCACAGCUCUCUAGCCUGGCGACAGAGUGAGCCUCCAUCUCAAAACAACAACAACAACAAAAACCAAAAGAAAUGAGGUUUAAUUGACUCACAGUUCCACAGGUUGUACAAGAGGUGUGACUGGGGAGGCCUCAGGAAGCUUACAAUCAUGGUGGAAGGAUGAAGGGGAAGCAAGCACGUCUUCACAUGGCAGUAGGCGGGAGAGUGAGUGAAGGGAGAAGUGCUACACACUUUCAAACAACCAGAUCUCAUGAAAACUCACUAUCACAAGAACAGCAAAAGGGAAAUCCACCCAUGAUCUAAUCAUCUCCCACCAGCUCCCUCUCGCAACAUUGGGAAUUACAGUUCAACAUGCGAUUUGGUGGGGACACAGAGCCAAACCAUAUCACACCCCAUUCAAAGCUAUGAGAUUAUAAAAUGGUCCUUCUCCUGUCACUCAGCUGACUGUAAAUUCAUGCUGGCACAUCCACACCACGGCAGACAGAAGACACUGCUUGGGAGUUCUGUUCUGUCAUCAACGGAGCUGUGAUGACCGUGGAUGUCACUGGUAGUGGCCAACAUUUCUGCAGCUCCUUCUCAGUUACAUCCUCAACACAAACUCCUCACCAGGUAUGAUGGUUUUCAGGAUCUGAUCCCUGUCCCAUCUCUGUUCUCAUUUCUUCACGUGCCCACACCUUCAUAGUAAUGUCUCCAGCUUCCUAAUGACUCUAAGUUUUCUGAGCACAUUAUAGUUUUCUUUAUUUCUGGCCUUACCUUUUAUUUUCCUCAACUGCUAGGAUGUUCUUCACUGUCCCACAUUGCCUGGUGAACUAUUUCUCAGAGCCCGG